GAUGAACGCUAGCUACAGGCUUAACACAUGCAAGUCGAGGGGAAACGGCAUUGAGUGCUUGCACUCUUUGGACGUCGACCGGCGCACGGGUGAGUAACGCGUAUCCAACCUUCCCAUUACUGUGGAAUAACCUGCCGAAAGGCAGACUAAUACCGCAUAGUCUUCGAUGACGGCAUCAGAUUUGAAGUAAAGAUUUAUCGGUAAUGGAUGGGGAUGCGUCUGAUUAGCUUGUUGGCGGGGUAACGGCCCACCAAGGCGACGAUCAGUAGGGGUUCUGAGAGGAAGGUCCCCCACAUUGGAACUGAGACACGGUCCAAACUCCUACGGGAGGCAGCAGUGGGGAAUAUUGGUCAAUGGACGGAAGUCUGAACCAGCCAAGUAGCGUGCAGGAUGACGGCCCUAUGGGUUGUAAACUGCUUUUGUAUGGGGAUAAAGUUAGGGACGUGUCCCUAUUUGCAGGUACCAUACGAAUAAGGACCGGCUAAUUCCGUGCCAGCAGCCGCGGUAAUACGGAAGGUCCAGGCGUUAUCCGGAUUUAUUGGGUUUAAAGGGAGCGUAGGCUGGAUAUUAAGUGUGUUGUGAAAUGUAGACGCUCAACGUCUGACUUGCAGCGCAUACUGGUUUCCUUGAGUACGCACAACGUUGGCGGAAUUCGUCGUGUAGCGGUGAAAUGCUUAGAUAUGACGAAGAACUCCGAUUGCGAAGGCAGCUGACGGGAGCGCAACUGACGCUUAAGCUCGAAGGUGCGGGUAUCAAACAGG
Molecule: ribosomal RNA, 761 nt
Filed under: Prevotella melaninogenica
Lineage: Bacteria; Pseudomonadati; Bacteroidota; Bacteroidia; Bacteroidales; Prevotellaceae
Description: bacterial SSU rRNA
Rfam family: Bacterial small subunit ribosomal RNA
Source: RNAcentral